Molecule: non-coding RNA, 39 nt
Filed under: Trypanosoma brucei brucei
Lineage: Eukaryota; Euglenozoa; Kinetoplastea; Trypanosomatida; Trypanosomatidae
Source: RNAcentral
AUAACAACGGAGAUAAGUAAUCUAAGUUUGAAAUUGUAA